UCUUAAGGCUCUGCCUUGCGUUGAGAUCUCCCUCGCGGAGUGCUCCAAACACAUGGGCGUCUGUCGUGCCUGAACCGCAACAUUCUGCGUCUAAAGGAAGUCGGCAGCGCCAGUCAACCGUCUA
Molecule: unclassified non-coding RNA, 124 nt
Filed under: uncultured Leotiomycetes
Lineage: Eukaryota; Fungi; Ascomycota; Leotiomycetes
Description: sequence contains ITS2
Source: RNAcentral